This 279-nucleotide ribosomal RNA is filed under the name uncultured bacterium. Its description in RNAcentral is "partial 16S ribosomal RNA". It matches the Rfam family "Bacterial small subunit ribosomal RNA", at positions 506 to 784 of the family's 1533-position model. The record is from RNAcentral.
UGCCAGCCGCCGCGGUAAUACGGAGGGGGUUAGCGUUGUUCGGAAUUACUGGGCGUAAAGCGCGCGUAGGCGGAUUGGAAAGUUGGGGGUGAAAUCCCGGGGCUCAACCCCGGAACUGCCUCCAAAACUGCCAGUCUAGAGUUCGAGAGAGGUGAGUGGAACUCCAAGUGUAGCAGUGAAAUGCGUAGAGAUUUGGAGGAAUACCAAUGGCGAAGGCAGCCCCCUGGGAUAACACUGACGCUCAUGCACGAAAGCGUGGGGAGCAAACAGGAUUAGAUA